GACGAACGCUGGCGGCGUGCUUAACACAUGCAAGUCGAACGGUAAGGCCCUUCGGGGUACACGAGUGGCGAACGGGUGAGUAACACGUGGGUGAUCUGCCCUGCACUUCGGGAUAAGCCUGGGAAACUGGGUCUAAUACCGGAUAGGGCUCCUGGCUUCAUGGUUGGGGGUGGAAAGCUUUUGCGGUGUGGGAUGGGCCCGCGGCCUAUGAGCUUGUUGGUGGGGUAAUGGCCUACCAAGGCGACGACGGGUAGCCGGCCUGAGAGGGUGACCGGUCACACUGGGACUGAGAUACGGCCCAGACUCCUACGGGAGGCAGCAGUGGGGAAUAUUGCACGAUGGGGGCAAGCCUGAUGCAGCGACGCCGCGUGAGGGAUGACGGCCUUCGGGUUGUAAACCUCUUUCAGCUAUGACGAAGCGCAAGUGACGGUAGUAGCAGAAGAAGGACCGGCCAACUACGUGCCAGCCGCCGCAGUAA
Molecule: ribosomal RNA, 478 nt
Filed under: uncultured bacterium
Lineage: Bacteria
Description: partial 16S ribosomal RNA
Rfam family: Bacterial small subunit ribosomal RNA
Source: RNAcentral